This 5707-nucleotide long non-coding RNA is filed under the name Triticum aestivum (bread wheat). Its description in RNAcentral is "long non-coding RNA (TAES_LNC024909)". Lineage: Eukaryota; Viridiplantae; Streptophyta; Magnoliopsida; Poales; Poaceae. The record is from RNAcentral.
CCAUCCGUUCCCCACAGCCUGUGGCGGGUGAGCCAAUGGCAUAGAGGAACGCAACAACGAUGAUGAGGAGGAAGCUAGAUGUCCUCAUGGCUAUUGGAUUGUCUAAUGGGGUUCUAUAUCUUGAGAUAGUUAUGUGGGACUUUGGUGAGUUGGUGAUGUGAGUCGAUCCAAAACAAGUGAGAUAGGUGUGCUUAAAUAGACAUUGUUAUAAGGGGCAGCCAUUAAUAGGAUGCUUAUCCAAGUAGGCAUUUACAAUGGCAUUUAUGACAACCUUUUAUACGGGGACAAACUUUAUUCACAAGUUAAUCAAUUGGAUCCAUAUCCAAAGAAUUUGACCUACUUAAACUUAGAAACGUUUAAAUACAUGCUUUCUUGAUGGUUGUAUUUCAUAGCCGGGUAGUAACUAGUGCACCCACUGACAAGUUGUGACUAAUAUCUUAUCCAUAAAAUGGUCAAAAUUAAAAUAAUUUGCCUUAUGGGUAGUAAAAACCUGUAUUUAAACCUUUGUAUGAAAAUAUAUCUAGAUUUCUAUCAUGGAAAUACUAAUAGUUAUAAUUAUACAAAUUGUUCUUAAAAUUUCAUAUAUAUUUUUGGAGUAAUACUUCAACUAUUAUCUUGGUGCCAAAAUUUGGGUUGAUUCGUCACACAACCACUUAUCUUUCUUGUGCUUGGAAACUUGAGUAUGAUAUGAGCAAUAUGAAACGUGUGGAUCUUUAUUAAACCCAAAUGAUAAGUGGCCAAUAUGUGGUACGAAGCAACAUGGUCCUAACGCCCCUAUUAUCAUCCACUUUGCCACAUCAAAUGGAUAACAUCAGCAGAUUUUUUUUUUUGUUUUUUAGACAUCAAAAUGUAUUAUCUCCCAAAUAAUAAAUUUGAUUACAAAUCUAUUUUCAUCGUUAAAUCUGCCUUGACGAGAUAUUCAAAACUAUAUCCCAUAUUGCUAUGUUUCGACGAUUUUUUGUGUGCCAAAAGUUGCCAUGAUAUUUACAUUGAAAUUGUCAUAGUGUUUACACUAAAGUUGCCAUGAUAUGUUUCAUCUAUUUUUCUUCUUCUAGAUUUUGAAGCUGCCAUUUUAUAUCAACUAAUUUUCACAUAAAAUUUUAUGAAUGGAUCGUGGAAAUUUUUAGUAAUUAACCACGGUGAAAUUAAUUCAUGGAUCAUGGCAAUUUUUAGUAAUUCAUCUUGGAAAUUUUAGUUUAAAAAUCAUGGCAAAUUUAGUUUAUAGAUCAUGGAAAUUUUAGUAGUUUGACCAUGAAAUUUUAGUAUUUGACCAAGGAAAAUUUUUUUGGUAUGAACCAUGGCAAAUUUUAGUGCAUGUAUCUUUGCAAAUUUAAGUAAUUCACCAUGGUAAUUUUAGUGUAUGGUUCAUGACAAAUUUGAGUCAUUGACCUUGCAUUUUUAAAAUAAUGAACAACGGGUUUCUUUUCUAAUUAUUAACCUUCAUGCCUAGAAGAGAACUAACUAGAUGCUUCAUUUGGUUGUGUGUAUAAUUGGUCUAGGGGUAUAAGAUAUAUCAUACGUGUUUGCUACUAUUUUAACAUGAAAGAAAAGUAGCGGAUAUGUUACAACAUAUACACAUAUUGCUAAAAUAAAUAAUUCUAUGAGGCAGUGGUAACACACACAGAGACAUGCAUAACAUGUUCAAGAUUAGGAAUCAUCCGCUUCUACGCGGUGUCAAAACACAUCAUAUAUAUGCCGAAAUUGCAGCCCGAACCGAAGGAGAUAUAUAAAAAUACCCAAGUAAUCUCAUAACAGCUAUCUCUGUUUCAAACAUUCCAUCCGUCUAAGAUGAAUCUUCUCUAGAAACUUAGGUGUACCAACUUGCUCGUACGCAAGUCACCACAAUGAAAACAAUCGUAUAUAUGAUAAACAAGGCCACAUGUGCAAUCAUGGCAACCAUCAGCACACCCCACGGAAAGUGUUAGGAACCUUUCGCCACUAGAGAGGUCGUAGUACAAAGGAGAAUUAUCCUUGAGACGCCGACGACGUACAAUGGUGUCGUCCACAGCAGUAGGUAUGGCCUUGUAAUUCACGGCAAUAGUCUCCCUCACAUAGACAGAGACAUCAUCGUCCUCGAUGUAAAUUCCAUGGUCAAUAGUAGUGAAGAGAGUAUUACCUCCGAUGCUUGUUACUGGGACAACCUUGCCCAUGAUAAGAUCGGCUACUUUGUAGACGAGCAUGCGCCCCUCUAAAAGUGGGUUAGCGUCGUGACCAAUCAGUCGGAUCUCCGAGACGCAUUCUUCCAUGCUGAACCGGCCUCUGAUUUUGUCAUUGGGACACGUGGCAAUCAACCUUGGCGGCAACAAAUAAGAUGACACUGCGUGAUGACCGAGGCGGGGUGGAUCGAUCUGCAGAAUAAGUUGUUUGCCGCCAUAUGUGGUGGGAGAAUCCAACACAAAUAAUUUUCCUUGGGGUGAUAUUGUAUGAGAGUAGCCUUGGAGGCUCCAAGUCGAGACACUCCAUUGCUGGUCCUUGGUAGUAGCAAAGAAUACUCGUGGUAUAUUAUAAAGCUUGAUCAUAACGGUGACGACUCCAUCAAUACUCACGCUCAUUGAGGUGACACCACUGAAAGCAACAUGUCUCCUGCCAUUUGACAUAUCCAAGUUGGCCCUUACCAGGGACAUGAGCGGCGGUAGCUCCACAAAGUCGUCGGUGAAAGGGUGGAGGAUAUGCAUACAGUGCUUAAAAGUUGGAAAACGUUUCACGCCAGCGCGCCCGCCGAAACUAUGGUUUGUCGGUUGCGAGCCAUGUGAUCAAGCCCCCAUUGUACGUCUCGCACAUCACCCUGGCCCAUCUUAUCUCUCAGCCUAGCGCGCUGGUGGCCACACUCCUCGUCUUCCUCCUUCGGAUCCCGCCGCCGUCUAGCCCCAAUCGCGGCUCAAGCUCAAGAAGGCGACACCCAUGGAUGACGGUGCUCCUCCAAGGCAACCAUGUUGGUGUGCUUGCCGAUGGCCUCGUCGACAUGCUUGCCUUCGGCGAGCCUCGUUGAUGGCGGUCGGGGCAGCGUGGGAGGCGUCAGCUUGGGAGUGGGGGCUCGGAAGGAACAAAUGAGGAGACUGCUCCCGGCAGCCUCGUCGGAUGAUUUGAAUAAUUCCCGAAUUUAUAUAGGCAGUUUUAUUGUUGGCCCAUCCUGCCUUAUGUGGAUUAGCUCCACUGGGGGAUUAUUCGCCCUGCACGCAACGCUGUUACUGUAUUGUGAUUGCGACAACUGGGAGAAGAGGGCCUCGCCGACGGGCGAUGGCAGGCCGGAGACGGGGCACGCGUGCGUCGGUGUCGAACGCUGCCGACCCUCCCUUACUGGGCCGGGUAAUAGCAAGGUACGACAUGAUCCAAGGUCCAAUUCUGCCGAGAAAUUAUGACCCGACCCAGUAAUCUUUGCCGAUCGACUCGAGUUCCGAUCGGUUUGAUCUCCUCGUGGCGGAGUCGUACACAGUCUGCGUCUCAGCUAUCCCUCGGUACGUUCUUCUAGAAAAACUACCCCUCGGUACGUAGAGCUAGGGUAGAAAGACCAGAUCGAUCUUCUACUUUUCGAGAGAAGAGAGAAGAUAUGCCGUCUGCGAUCGAUCCACCGAUGUCAUCAUCACGGGCCAACCACGACGGCGCAUCAGCCAUCGCUGAUGCUGCUGCCUCCGCCGCCAGCUCCGAAGACGACGUCUCUCCAUGGUCGUCUCUGCAUGCAGAUUUGGUUCGUCAACUCGGCUGGGAGGUGCUGGCCGGAGAUAUACUGGACUAUGUCCGAUUUCGUGCCGUGUGCGCCCACUGGCGGUCCAGCACCGUCGCGCCGCGGGGGCACGGCAUCGUCGACCCACGCUUCCACCCCAAGAGGUGGUUCCUGCUGCCCGAGGGUCACGGCCUGCACCCUGCUGACGGCAAGAAACGUUUCUUCAAUCUCUCCACAGGAGUUUUCGUCCGUGUCUUGCUCCCCUUCUUAAGCGAUAGCUAUGUCCUUGACUCGGCCGAUGGCCUCCUCCUCUUGCAACGGAAAAGCCAAGACACCUCCGCGAUCCGGCUCCUCCACCCUUUCACCGACGACUUUGCGGAGCUACCACCGCCCAUGUCCCUUGUAAGAGCUAACUUGGAUAUGUCCGAUGGCACACGACGGGUUGAUUUCCGUAGUGUCACUUCCAUUAGCGUCACUGUUGAUGGAGUCGUCGCAGUCAUGAUCAAGCUUUACAAUAUAUCACGUGUAUUCUUUGCUACUACUAAGGACCGGCAGUGGAGUGUCUCGACUUGGAAUAUCGGAUGGUACUCCGAGACAAUAUCGUCCAACCACAUAUCGCCGUGAACAACAUAUUCUCCAGAUCGAUCCACCCCGCCUUGAUCAUCACGCCAUGUCAUCUUAUUUGUUGCCAUCAAGGUUGAUUGCCACGUGUCCCACUAACAAAAUUUCUGGCAUGUUCUACAUGGAAGAUUGUGUCUCGGAGAUCCUAGUGAUUGGUCAGGAUGCUAACCCAUUUUUCAAGGGCCGCUUGGUCGUCUACAAAGUAGCCGAUCUUAUCAUGGGCAAGGUUAUCCCGGUAACAAGCAUCGGAGGUAAUACUCUCUUCACUACAAUUGACAAUGGAAUUAGCAUUGACGAUAAUGAUAUCUCUGUUUAUGUGAGGGAGACUAUUGUUGUGAGUUACAAGCCCAUACCUACUGCUAUGGGCGACACCAUUGUACGCCGUCGGCGUCUCAAGGAUAAUUCUCCUUUGUACUACGACCUCUUUAGCGGCGAAUGGUCCCAAGGACCGGCCAUGGAGUGUGCUGAUGGUUACCAUGAUUGCACCUGUGUCCUUGUUUAUCAUAUCUACGAUUGUUGUCAUUGUGGUGACUUCCGUGCGAGCAAGUUGGUACACCUAAGUUUCUAGAGCAGAUACUCGUGUGUCAUAGAGAUGUACUUAUCCUUGGAAAAGUUGAAUGGUGUCCUGGAAACCAUCCCACUGCUUAUAGUAGAAUGAUCGAUCUAGUGCUAAUACCGUGUUUUUAUUUCAUGACUCUUUGGUAUUGCAUUGUAUUGCAGUUAUAGAUCUCUGCAAUUGCAAGUUAUAUUUAGUUGUUCCAUUUUCUGCUCUUAUCAUUGUCAAGUUGUAGAUGUAUGCUAUUUGAUAUGUUACAAGCAUGGCAACGCAAGAGGAUAAAUUAUUAGUCGAUAAAAAACAGUUAACAAAUCUGCAACAUCACAAUUAUUACUACCGAAGUUAUUGCUACCCGCCUAUUUCACCUUGGCGAAUGAGAGGAGCUGGCGUUUGUGAGUCCACGUCUGCUCGUACACCUCUGCCUUGUACUUGUCUUCUUUCCCGCCAAUGUCUGAUGCCUCGAUGAUGAGUUCGUAGUUCAUUCCAGAAACAAGUUGUUGCCUGCCACUUACCACCUUGUUGAACUUGAGCACGCAGUUCACAUGCUUGCCGAACUCCAACACCGCCCAACGGCCGAGCUCCUGGAUGUGUUGGUCGUUGAUGUUUCCGAUUGGUUCCCAUCCAUUCUCAAUUGCCGUGUUCCACAAUUGGUUGCCCAUCCGUUCCCCACAGCCUAUGGCAGGUGAGCCGAUGGCAUAGAGGAACGCAACAACGAUGAUGAGGAGGAAGCUAGAUGUCCUCAUGGCUAUUGGAUUGUCUAGUGGGGUUCUUGAUCUUGAGAUAGUUAUGUGGGACUUUGGUGAAUUGGUGAUGUGAGUGGAUCCAAAACAAUUGAGGUAGCGGUGCUUAAAUAGACAUUGUUAUAAGAG